ACUUGAACUUCAUGGGGAACACAUAUUACAAAAUAAUAUUUAAUUGGCUUCUGCAUUUCUGAACUAGAAUUUUGUUGAAACACAAAUUAUUAGUACAAAUU
This is a long non-coding RNA of Gavialis gangeticus (Gharial), 101 nucleotides long. RefSeq lists it as uncharacterized. NCBI's taxonomy places the organism in Eukaryota, Metazoa, Chordata, Crocodylia, Gavialidae. The transcript has 3 exons. The record is from RefSeq and is a predicted model, not a curated record.